This 91-nucleotide transfer RNA is filed under the name Oceanimonas sp. GK1. RNAcentral describes it as "tRNA-OTHER". Lineage: Bacteria; Pseudomonadati; Pseudomonadota; Gammaproteobacteria; Aeromonadales; Aeromonadaceae. The record is from RNAcentral.
CGGGAAUGGCGCAGCCUGGUAGCGCAUCCGUGUUUUUGAGUAUGAGUGGGACCAGAGUGUUUCGCAGGUUCGAAUCCUGCAACGCCGACCA